Non-coding RNA from Durio zibethinus, 178 nucleotides. The record is from RefSeq and is a predicted model, not a curated record. Lineage: Eukaryota; Viridiplantae; Streptophyta; Magnoliopsida; Malvales; Malvaceae.
UGUUUGUUUCAUUUGUUUCUCUCUUUAAUAGAGAGAGAAAGAGCAUCAUUCACUAAAAGUGGAACCAAUGGAAACCAAGCUACCCAAAUUUUGAUCGUCACCACGGCGUUGGCCACCAAUGGGCUAUAGAGAUGAUGACCAAAAUAGUGGAUGCUUUGCAAAGGAAUGCAUAUCUAAG